GCUGGGCAUGGUGGUGCAUUCCUGCAGUCCCAGCUACCUGGGAGGCUGAGGCAGGAGAAUCACUUGAACCCAGGAGGCAGAGGUGGCAGUAAGCUGAAAUUGCACCACUGCACUUCAGCCUGGGUUACAAAGUGAGACUCUGUCUCAA
Callithrix jacchus (white-tufted-ear marmoset) is the source of this 148-nucleotide unclassified non-coding RNA. It matches the Rfam family "Metazoan signal recognition particle RNA". Rfam says of the family: The signal recognition particle (SRP) is a universally conserved ribonucleoprotein. It is involved in the co-translational targeting of proteins to membranes. The record is from Ensembl. Lineage: Eukaryota; Metazoa; Chordata; Mammalia; Primates; Cebidae.